RNAcentral lists this transfer RNA (74 nucleotides) under Candidatus Nanopelagicaceae bacterium. RNAcentral describes it as "tRNA-Thr". It matches the Rfam family "tRNA". From Rfam's summary of the family: Transfer RNA (tRNA) molecules are approximately 80 nucleotides in length. Their secondary structure includes four short double-helical elements and three loops (D, anti-codon, and T loops). Further hydrogen bonds mediate the characteristic L-shaped molecular structure. tRNAs have two regions of fundamental functional importance: the anti-codon, which is responsible for specific mRNA codon recognition, and the 3' end, to which the tRNAs corresponding amino acid is attached (by aminoacyl-tRNA synthetases). tRNAs cope with the degeneracy of the genetic code in two manners: having more than one tRNA (with a specific anti-codon) for a particular amino acid; and 'wobble' base-pairing, i.e. permitting non-standard base-pairing at the 3rd anti-codon position. Lineage: Bacteria; Bacillati; Actinomycetota; Actinomycetes; Candidatus Nanopelagicales; Candidatus Nanopelagicaceae. The record is from RNAcentral. RNAcentral also lists the same sequence under 1 other name.
GCCCCCCUAGCUCAGUCGGUAGAGCGUUUCCAUGGUAAGGAAAAGGUCACCGGUUCGAUUCCGGUGGGGGGCUC